This 1952-nucleotide ribosomal RNA is filed under the name human gut metagenome. RNAcentral's name for it is "bacterial LSU rRNA". It matches the Rfam family "Bacterial large subunit ribosomal RNA", at positions 1 to 1977 of the family's 2925-position model. The record is from RNAcentral.
UUAAGCGACUAAGCGUACACGGUGGAUGCCCUGGCAGUCAGAGGCGAUGAAGGACGUGCUAAUCUGCGAUAAGCGUCGGUAAGGUGAUAUGAACCGUUAUAACCGGCGAUUUCCGAAUGGGGAAACCCAGUGUGAUUCGUCACACUAUCAUUAACUGAAUCCAUAGGUUAAUGAGGCGAACCGGGGGAACUGAAACAUCUAAGUACCCCGAGGAAAAGAAAUCAACCGAGAUUCCCCCAGUAGCGGCGAGCGAACGGGGAGCAGCCCAGAGCCUGAAUCAGUGUGUGUGUUAGUGGAAGCGUCUGGAAAGGCGCGCGAUACAGGGUGACAGCCCCGUACACAAAAAUGCACAUACUGUGAGCUCGAUGAGUAGGGCGGGACACGUGGUAUCCUGUCUGAAUAUGGGGGGACCAUCCUCCAAGGCUAAAUACUCCUGACUGACCGAUAGUGAACCAGUACCGUGAGGGAAAGGCGAAAAGAACCCCGGCGAGGGGAGUGAAAAAGAACCUGAAACCGUGUACGUACAAGCAGUGGGAGCCUUGAUUUAUCAGGGUGACUGCGUACCUUUUGUAUAAUGGGUCAGCGACUUAUAUUCUGUAGCAAGGUUAACCGAAUAGGGGAGCCGAAGGGAAACCGAGUCUUAACUGGGCGUUAAGUUGCAGGGUAUAGACCCGAAACCCGGUGAUCUAGCCAUGGGCAGGUUGAAGGUUGGGUAACACUAACUGGAGGACCGAACCGACUAAUGUUGAAAAAUUAGCGGAUGACUUGUGGCUGGGGGUGAAAGGCCAAUCAAACCGGGAGAUAGCUGGUUCUCCCCGAAAGCUAUUUAGGUAGCGCCUCGUGAAUUCAUCUCCGGGGGUAGAGCACUGUUUCGGCAAGGGGGUCAUCCCGACUUACCAACCCGAUGCAAACUGCGAAUACCGGAGAAUGUUAUCACGGGAGACACACGGCGGGUGCUAACGUCCGUCGUGAAGAGGGAAACAACCCAGACCGCCAGCUAAGGUCCCAAAGUCAUGGUUAAGUGGGAAACGAUGUGGGAAGGCCCAGACAGCCAGGAUGUUGGCUUAGAAGCAGCCAUCAUUUAAAGAAAGCGUAAUAGCUCACUGGUCGAGUCGGCCUGCGCGGAAGAUGUAACGGGGCUAAACCAUGCACCGAAGCUGCGGCAGCGACACUAUGUGUUGUUGGGUAGGGGAGCGUUCUGUAAGCCUGUGAAGGUGUGCUGUGAGGCAUGCUGGAGGUAUCAGAAGUGCGAAUGCUGACAUAAGUAACGAUAAAGCGGGUGAAAAGCCCGCUCGCCGGAAGACCAAGGGUUCCUGUCCAACGUUAAUCGGGGCAGGGUGAGUCGACCCCUAAGGCGAGGCCGAAAGGCGUAGUCGAUGGGAAACAGGUUAAUAUUCCUGUACUUGGUGUUACUGCGAAGGGGGGACGGAGAAGGCUAUGUUGGCCGGGCGACGGUUGUCCCGGUUUAAGCGUGUAGGCUGGUUUUCCAGGCAAAUCCGGAAAAUCAAGGCUGAGGCGUGAUGACGAGGCACUACGGUGCUGAAGCAACAAAUGCCCUGCUUCCAGGAAAAGCCUCUAAGCAUCAGGUAACAUCAAAUCGUACCCCAAACCGACACAGGUGGUCAGGUAGAGAAUACCAAGGCGCUUGAGAGAACUCGGGUGAAGGAACUAGGCAAAAUGGUGCCGUAACUUCGGGAGAAGGCACGCUGAUAUGUAGGUGAAGCGACUUGCUCGUGGAGCUGAAAUCAGUCGAAGAUACCAGCUGGCUGCAACUGUUUAUUAAAAACACAGCACUGUGCAAACACGAAAGUGGACGUAUACGGUGUGACGCCUGCCCGGUGCCGGAAGGUUAAUUGAUGGGGUCAGCCGCAAGGCGAAGCUCUUGAUCGAAGCCCCGGUAAACGGCGGCCGUAACUAUAACGGUCCUAAGGUAGCGAAAUUCCUUGUCGGGU